CCUACGGGGGGCUGCAGUAGGGAAUCUUCCGCAAUGGACGAAAGUCUGACGGAGCAACGCCGCGUGAGUGAUGAAGGUUUUCGGAUCGUAAAGCUCUGUUGUUAGGGAAGAACAAGUACCGUUCGAAUAGGGCGGUACCUUGACGGUACCUAACCAGAAAGCCACGGCUAACUACGUGCCAGCAGCCGCGGUAAUACGUAGGUGGCAAGCGUUGUCCGGAAUUAUUGGGCGUAAAGGGCUCGCAGGCGGUUUCUUAAGUCUGAUGUGAAAGCCCCCGGCUCAACCGGGGAGGGUCAUUGGAAACUGGGGAACUUGAGUGCAGAAGAGGAGAGUGGAAUUCCACGUGUAGCGGUGAAAUGCGUAGAGAUGUGGAGGAACACCAGUGGCGAAGGCGACUCUCUGGUCUGUAACUGACGCUGAGGAGCGAAAGCGUGGGGAGCGAACAGGAUUAGAUACCCAAGUAGUC
RNAcentral lists this ribosomal RNA (466 nucleotides) under uncultured bacterium. Its description in RNAcentral is "bacterial SSU rRNA". It matches the Rfam family "Bacterial small subunit ribosomal RNA", at positions 338 to 795 of the family's 1533-position model. The record is from RNAcentral.